This 376-nucleotide long non-coding RNA is filed under the name Lathyrus oleraceus (garden pea). RNAcentral describes it as "Pisum sativum (pea) long non-coding RNA (PSAT_LNC027809)". The record is from RNAcentral. Lineage: Eukaryota; Viridiplantae; Streptophyta; Magnoliopsida; Fabales; Fabaceae.
CGUGGUCAAGGUAAGGAUGAGAUAAAUCCUAAGGGACUAGGCUAAAAUUCAAAGAGACAAAAGAGACUUGAAAGAACUGCGGGAGUUGAAUUUAUAAAAGAUUUCAUUCACUUCAACAACUCUAUAGCAACUGUUUUCUCUUCUCCUUUCUCUUUUUAUUCUUUUUUUUUCUUUUUCAUAAGGAGUAUGUAUUGAUUGACAUCAUUCUAUUUUUUUCAUUCAUUUUUUUUUCUUUUUUAUUUUAUUUUUCUAUUUUUCUUUUAUUUUUCUGCCAACUUUUGAAAUAUUAUAAAUAUAUUUAUUCAACCCCACACAACUCCAAACAAGACUCUUCCAACCCUUUGAAUAGGGUGAUAACAUUGUUUUUCACUUUUCG